AGAAUAAACUAAAAAUGGAUUAAAGACUUAAGUGUAAGAUUUGAAACCAUAAAAAUCUUUGAAGAAAACAUAAGCAGUAAGAUCUUGAACAUUUCUUAUAGCAAUAUUUUUUAUUCUGAUAUAUAUCUUCAGGCAAAGGAAACAACAAAAAAUAAUAAACAAAUGGGACUAUAUCAAACUAAAAAAUUUUUACAUAGCAAAGAAAACCAUCAACAAAAUGAAAAGACAACCCACUGAAUGAGAAAAUAUGUUUGCUAAUGAUAUAUCUGAUAAGGGGUUAAUAUCCAAAAUUUAUAAAGAACUGACAAAACAAACAAUCCAAUUUAAAAAUGAGCAAAGGACGUGAAUAGAUACUUCUCUAAGAGGGACAUACAAAUUGCCCAUAGACAUAUAAAAAGAUGCUCCACAUCACUAAUUAUUACAGAAAUGGAAAUUAAAACUACAAUAAGGUAUCACCUUAUACCUGUCAGAAUGGCUAUCAUCAAUAAAUCAACAAGUGUUGGUGGGAAGUGGAGAAAAGGGAACACUUGUGCACUGUCGGUGGGAAUGCAGAUUGGUGUAGCCACUGUGGAAAGCAGUAUGGAGUUACUUCAAAAAAUUAAAAAUGAAACCGCCUUAUGACCCUUCAAUUCCACUUCUGAGAAUAUAUCUGAAGAAACCUGAAACACUGAUUCAUAGGAUAUGUGCCCAUCAGUAGAUGAGUGGAUAAAAAAGCUGUGGCACAUUAACACAAUGGAAUACUACUGAGCUGUAAAAAGGAAGGAAAUCUUACCCUUUGCAACAACAGCAUGGAUGGACCUGAAGGAAGGACAUUGUGACACAUGCUGCAACCUGAAGACAUGAUGCUCAGUGAAACAAGCCAGUCACAGAAAGACAAAUACUGUGUGAUCCCGCUCACAUGAGGUCUCUGGAGCUGUCAGUCAUAGAGACGGAGGCCUCUUAAGAGAACGAAAGGAUGCCAUGUUGGGGGAGUCGCCACUGUGUGCGCAGGCGCAGAGAGGUGUCCACGCAGGCCAAGUGCUGCUUUCUCACACCUUUGAGGACAGCCGAGCAGCCCUGCCUGAUGCACAGCCACCUGUAGCUGAUGGAUGGAACCCGCAUGGCGACCCCACCCACCAGCAGUGCCACUGAGACACUGGGCAGGGGACAGCUGAGAAGUGCCAGACAGGACUUAAAUGGUGACCCGUUUUUAA
This is a long non-coding RNA of Eptesicus fuscus (big brown bat), 1193 nucleotides long. RefSeq lists it as uncharacterized. The transcript is spliced from 3 exons. NCBI's taxonomy places the organism in Eukaryota, Metazoa, Chordata, Mammalia, Chiroptera, Vespertilionidae. The record is from RefSeq and is a predicted model, not a curated record.